AUAAUGGAAGGUCAGCUGAAAAGACACAAAUUGUAGCUGAAAAGUAGAAUUUCACGAACACCAUCUCAAUACGUCCAAUCAGCCAUUGAUGUGUCUAUCAAAACUCAACGUAGCUGGAGAACCAUCACUAGAGAGACCCCAAUUUCUGAUUCUUCUUCUAUUGGGAGUGUGUGUUUUUCCACCUCAAACAAGAGAAGAAGAAAAAAAACACCAGGAGCAAAUUUCUGAGCCGUAGGAAUCGUUCAGCAACUCUCGUCUGUUGUAUCUCCUGCACCUCGCCACACCUACCAGCUUAGCUUGGAGAUGUGCAGCUCGAUUAGCAACUUCAAAUGAAACCACUGUAACCAUCAAGAUUGACAAAUGAAACGUGAAUGCACGCUAAGUAUUUAGACAAGAACAAAUUCUACCAGUAACUCAUGUGUCUUGGCAGCAUACCAUUUCAACACCUCAAGCUCUCACCAGGUGCAUGAUAUACUUACCAAUCGAACAUACUUCAGACAUCAUAAGCAUAAUGGUUCCUUGCUUAUCUGAGUAGACUCAUUACCAUCGCUCUUUGCAGAGCCACUAAUUGUAUGAGUAUCAGACUGUUGAUCAUCACCUUGCAAGACAGACCCGAAUGCUUUUGUGACCCACUCCUCGGUUGAACUUAUAUCCUCUACCCUUUUAUCUUGAGAUGGGUUCCCUUUAUCCCUUGUAUCAUUAUUUUCUAUAACAUUAGUGUUUGAAGUACUGGUGCAUGUCAUUGUGUUCUCAUCUUGAGCAAGAGCCUCAAAUUUAUUCUCCACCACGGUGGUUAACUGAGGUGAGAUAUUCGUUUUCCCCUUUUAUCCCUCACCACCUUCCACUUACCAGGGUCCCCGACUACUUUCCCACUUGAAAGUAUUAUGGCUCCUCCUUUUUGAAGUGUUUAACCUUUUGCAGCUUGCAGCGCUUGUUUGAAUUGUGCUUUGUCCUGCAUCUGUUGCGUAUUUUUCUCUCCAAUACUCCUGUAAUUGAUCACUUUACAAUUCUCUUUGUUAUGCCCUUGCAUCUUGCAUUCAAGACAAUAUUUAGGGACAUAAUCAUACUGAAUUGCAAUCAUAUUAGUCCUUAUUUCUCCUGUCUCCACAUUCUCUAUGUUCAUUUGUACAACUUUAGGAAAAGAACCUUUAAGAUCUACCAACACCUUCACACAUGCACAACUAGGCCUUGUCUUGUUUAUAGUUGCUUGAUCUAGAUGAAUAGGUUUUCCUACUGUCGACGCUAGGGAGAAAAGACACUCUUUGACAAAGAACGUGGGUAAUAAGUUUGGAAAAGUUAUCCAUGACAUGGCCAUUGAUGUUUCUUCAUUAACUCUAAAUCUAGAGUCAUAGAUCAGAGUACACAUCAAAUACGAGUACCCAUUCUUACACGUGAUAUAGAAAGCUCUCUUAGAGAUAAGGUUAACAAAAUCUUCAUGUAGGUCCAGACGAAUAAGAAUGUGUUUACUCCGAAAUAAGCCAAUCUGACACCCUCCUUUCACCUUGCAUUAGCUAGGAAUGAUUUUCCUUAAUUCUUCAAGAUCAGACCACUCAUAUGUGAACUUUCCAAUCACUGCAUAUUGGAGGUCUUCAAUGUGGUUCAUUCUUUCUACUUCUUCCUCCGUCCAUUUUACUUAAGGAAUUCCCCCUACCAAACUGAUAUCCCUCCGUAAGGAUUCAUGAUCAUGUGAAUUUUUCUCCUCUCUCACAGUCAUAGAAUCAACAUAAGAUUUCUCAAGAGGCAGAUUAGGGAUUAUGGAAUCAGUAC
This is a long non-coding RNA of Solanum stenotomum, 1767 nucleotides long. RefSeq lists it as uncharacterized. The transcript is spliced from 4 exons. Lineage: Eukaryota; Viridiplantae; Streptophyta; Magnoliopsida; Solanales; Solanaceae. The record is from RefSeq and is a predicted model, not a curated record.